GGUAUGGUUCGUAUGCUAGCUCUGUGUUUGUCUCUCUAUAUGUGUACGUGUGUGUGUGUGACUGUGCUUGUGCUCGUACAUAUAUGCCUGUGCUUGUAUGCGUGUAUGGGUAGGUUGGCAGUUUUGCUGCACGGCUCACUCGCGCGCAAUGAGCGCUUUUGCUGUUUUAAUUUUUGCCUGAAAUACAUUUUGAGCUAAUUUCGUAUUGGUAGUUUUGUUUAUACCGUCGGUUGUGUUGGCGUCACAUUUUGUAUGCGAAAGCAAGCGCAGCACGUAGUUAACAAAUUUUAAUCAAAUAGCCAAAUACGCUUAGACAAUACCUAUAGAAAAUUUCUUUUAACGUACAUGCGUGUAUAUAUAUAUAUUGAAUGGCGCAAAAGCGAAAAGCAAUGCGAAUGCAGCAGUUGUGAAUCAAUCAAAUCCAAGCAAAGCAACAGCAGCAACAGCAACAGCAACAACGUCGCAUCAAUUCAGCAACUCUAACGGCAGCUUCAUGUCAGCGCAACAACAACAACUGCAACAACAGCAUUAGACAUUCAACAAACAAAACCAACAAA
Molecule: long non-coding RNA, 557 nt
Organism: Drosophila arizonae
Lineage: Eukaryota; Metazoa; Arthropoda; Insecta; Diptera; Drosophilidae
Gene: sd
Source: RefSeq, a predicted model, not a curated record